RNAcentral lists this ribosomal RNA (308 nucleotides) under uncultured bacterium. RNAcentral describes it as "bacterial SSU rRNA". It matches the Rfam family "Bacterial small subunit ribosomal RNA", at positions 28 to 334 of the family's 1533-position model. The record is from RNAcentral.
GACGAACGCUGGCGGCGGGCUUAAUACAUGCAAGUCGAACGAGAAGCUCCAGCUUGCUGGAGUGAAAAUGGCGAACGGGUGCGUAACGCGUAGGCAACCUGCCCUUCAGUGGGGAAUAACUUCGGGAAACCGAAGCUAAUACCGCAUAUUAUCUUGACCUCUCAUGGGGAUGAGAUGAAAGCCUUCGGGCGCUGAGGGAUGGGCCUGCGUCGGAUUAGGUAGUUGGUGAGGUAACAGCUCACUAAGCCUACGAUCCGUAGCUGGUCUGAGAGGAUGAUCAGCCACACUGGCACUGAGACACGGGCCAG